GACGGAGGAUGCAGGCGUUAUCCGGAAUUAUUGGGCGUAAAGCGUCCGCAGGUGGCUGUUCAAGUCUGCUGUCAAAGCGCAGAGCUUAACUCUGUACAGGCGGUGGAAACUGAAGAGCUAGAGUAUGGUAGGGGUAGAGGGAAUUCCCGGUGUAGCGGUGAAAUGCGUAGAUAUCGGGAAGAACACCAGUGGCGAAAGCGCUCUACUGGGCCAUAACUGACACUGAGGGACGAAAGCUAGGGGAGCGAAAGGG
Molecule: ribosomal RNA, 253 nt
Filed under: uncultured bacterium
Lineage: Bacteria
Description: partial 16S ribosomal RNA
Rfam family: Bacterial small subunit ribosomal RNA
Source: RNAcentral